UCGAGCGAUCAGAAGGUGCUUGCACCUUUUGGUUAGCGGCGGACGGGUGAGUAACACGUGGGCAACCUGCCUGUAAGACUGGGAUAACUUCGGGAAACCGGAGCUAAUACCGGAUAAUCCUUUUCCUCUCAUGAGGAAAAGCUGAAAGUCGGUUUCGGCUGACACUUACAGAUGGGCCCGCGGCGCAUUAGCUAGUUGGUGAGGUAACGGCUCACCAAGGCGACGAUGCGUAGCCGACCUGAGAGGGUGAUCGGCCACACUGGGACUGAGACACGGCCCAGACUCCUACGGGAGGCAGCAGUAGGGAAUCUUCCGCAAUGGACGAAAGUCUGACGGAGCAACGCCGCGUGAGCGAUGAAGGCCUUCGGGUCGUAAAGCUCCGUUGUUAGGGAAGAACAAGUAUCGGAGUAACUGCCGGUACCUUGACGGUACCUAACCAGAAAGCCACGGCUAACUACGUGCCAGCAGCCGCGGUAAUACGUAGGUGGCAAGCGUUG
Molecule: ribosomal RNA, 497 nt
Filed under: uncultured bacterium
Lineage: Bacteria
Description: bacterial SSU rRNA
Rfam family: Bacterial small subunit ribosomal RNA
Source: RNAcentral